GUAUGAAGGUUGACUUGCAGAUAGGUGGGGUGGAGAGGAAAUAAAACUCAUGUGUGGGGUGUGUCCACAGUGGCAAACGUACAGCUCGCCGUGCAGAUCUCCUGCCUCAGACCUAUGGCUUGUUCAAGGCUGACUUGGACUCAUCCUGAAAGCUACUGAGAGAUGCUGGAAAAGUCAUAGAUGUUCUUCAGAAUUGGGUAAUGUCAGCUGCAGUGGUGAGACGUGUUCCGAAGACGGACGACAGAGCAGCCCAGCUAACGAUGGUGAAUCCGUUGGACGGAGAACUGAUAAGGGCAUGUGGCUGACACAUACAGCUUUGUGUCCGCUGGGUGCUCAGGUCAGGAAAUGUAAUCAAAUUGCAUUUUUUCUGUGAAUGGCAUGUUAAUGUGUUUAAAUUGAUACUGUUUCAGAUUUUCUUCUGUCAUUUUUUGUCAUAUUUAUGAAUAUAAUCAUCAAGUUUUUAACAUCGAAAUUAAGGUCCCAGUGAGAACUCAUUUUAAUUGGCUAAUUGUCUAAAUAUUUUACUAUAAUGCCAAUGAAAUGCAGGUGCAUGCAUGUAUAUGUACAUUAUAUGUAAAUCUCAGUAUAACCUUGUGGGUUGCAUUGAACAUUCAGCAUUCAAUCUCCUGUUUCAUUUGGCUUUACUGAACAUAGCACAUUUCUCAAAUACAUUCAUCUCUAUACUCUUAAAAAGGUUACAAAAAGUGGUAUUAUGCAGUGAAUAACGGUAUUAAAACACUUUCUUUGUUCCUGAAAGAACAGUUAAUAACAAAAAAAAACAUGUUUGUACUGCGAAUAAUAUAAAAAAAAAAAAUGAAGUUCCUUUUGGUGGAAUGGAUAGGUUCUUCAUAGAACCAUCACUGCCAAUCAAAAACAUUGAUUAACAUAUUUAAAAGUUUUUCUUAAUUUUUAGAUUUUUUAGUAUGUCUGUGCUACUUAAUUCAGACUUGAUUAUCUUUUAAUGACACACAAUAAAAACUUUUUGUAAGCAACUGAAUUUCAUAUAAACCCUUUUGAAGCGAAGACAAUUGGCAUUAAAAAUAAAAAUUUUAUUCCAGAAGUCAUGCUACAGCAUUUCGUAAAAACUUACUGGGGCGUAUUUUAUACAGAAUAACAAUUAAAUUAAUUUGAGCAUUUAAAAAUAGACUUUGUAAUAAUUGAUAUUACACUAAAAUUCAUAUUUUGAUACAUUGUAUCAAAUUACACAAAUUACUUUUAUUUAAAAGAUAGAUCAAAUGUCUAAUUUGUAAAGCUACGCAUUGACUCAGUAUUUUACAUAUAUUGCAUUAUGUAAAAUCUCACUAAUUAUUUAACGUAUACAUUCACACGUCGUGUUGCAAUUUUAUUGCAUAGGCAUUUGGUUAAUUCUCUAAUACGUCAUCCUGCAUGCUGAAACAUUCAAUCCUGCUCUUUGUACUUUAUGUAAAGUAAGAAUAAGUGAUAGGGUGAAAACUUGAAAUGUGAAAUCUAGCCAAUAAAAGGUGACACUUUUCUUUUUUUUUUUAAAUGAGAGUGAUUUGGUGCUGUCUUAAGCCAGGCCCACCAUGGAAGCACUGAGAUCCCACAGUCUGCGGGCUGCAACAUCAUCCCUGCCCUGAGGAGCAGUCUCUUUAGGUGCACAAUCACUGCAAAAUGACCAAAUAACAGAGUGAAAUGAUCAUAGUUAAAUGAUAAUGCUCAAAUGACACUGUGUUAAUAAAAGCUUUAAAAACAA
Danio aesculapii is the source of this 1714-nucleotide long non-coding RNA. RefSeq lists it as uncharacterized. The transcript is spliced from 2 exons. NCBI's taxonomy places the organism in Eukaryota, Metazoa, Chordata, Actinopteri, Cypriniformes, Danionidae. The record is from RefSeq and is a predicted model, not a curated record.